CUGGCCCCACUGUGAUAAGCCUGGCGGCCCUGCUCGGUCCCUUCCACGACUCGCAGCGAGAGAGAGAGGUCGAGGUGCGGUGGUCUCGUGGCGGAAGGCUGAAGGAAGCGGUGAAGGAGUGAAGGUGUGAAGUGUGCAGCUUCCACUUCAUCAUCCCAUGAACAGCCCACAGGAAUCUCUACCAGCACCUGGUUAUUAAACAGUGUUGUCACGCCAGGCCCAAUGUACUCCAUUGCAAUCAGGGAGUCAAGCUUCACCAGGAAAAGAGGCAGAGCGUCACCACCUUCAAGCCCCACAAGAGGUAUUAAGUAUCGUUGGGACAAAGCAAUCAGGGAAGAGUCAAGUUGCAGUAAGAGGAGUGGGUCAAGAAUUUCAAGCGGGAAGAACACGUAAAAUUCCCUUCAAGUCAUGGCGGGACCGACAGGCAAGCUUCAACACUUGUGGAGGCACGAGAGCUGCAGGCAGUUUCACAAAGAAGAGGUUGCUCCUCACUCAAGUUGACGCAAGGACACAAGAAUUGGCAAGUGUUGUUGCUCCCAGGCCCUGCUGCAAGAGUUCUCCAGUCCACUCCAGUCUGGGAAGGAAGAAUGUAGCAAGUCCCUCUCUUCUGUAUUCAACAACCACCACCACCACCUUCAUUCAGGCUUGGGAUAAGUUUUGUACAUUCCAGCACUUCAGUAAUAAGGAAAAAAAGUGCCAUGUUUAUAUUA
Molecule: long non-coding RNA, 710 nt
Organism: Scylla paramamosain (green mud crab)
Lineage: Eukaryota; Metazoa; Arthropoda; Malacostraca; Decapoda; Portunidae
Exons: 3
Source: RefSeq, a predicted model, not a curated record